Molecule: non-coding RNA, 3899 nt
Organism: Pelodiscus sinensis (Chinese soft-shelled turtle)
Lineage: Eukaryota; Metazoa; Chordata; Testudines; Trionychidae
Source: RefSeq, a predicted model, not a curated record
CCCUCCACAGAGCGCCCGUCAUUCGUCGGCACCACCUACGAUUGCCGUGCCUAGCCCAGUGCAGCAGGUCUCUGGCACCAGUGCUCCAGCACCGACUGCGAUGGGACCGCCCAGACAUGCCCAUAUGGGGAAGCCGGAUUCUGUGGAGAGGUAAAGACAAUAUCACAUCUGUACGGCACCAUCCAUGACACUGCCAUUGUCUGCCUCUGACUACUCUUCUGAGUCGGAGCCUGAGUCGAUGCACUCCUUUGCUUCAUCUAGAACUUCUUCUUGGCACCGUCCCAGACCAUCCAAGUUCCAGCAGACUUGGCCCCCACAGGCCCGGACACUUUGGGCCUAUCACCAGUGGCAGAGGCCCAUGCCACCGUCACGGGGAUCUAGUGUCUCGCACCAAAGAAGCACUCUAUCGGCCUCUGUGUCGGGACCCCCUGAUGUGACUAGAGUGGACAGCCCUCAGACAGAAGCUGGCAGUGGAGGAAGUCCCCGCAGUGAACCCAUCUCCCCCGACAUGGAGCCCCCUCAAGCCACCCAGUCUCCUGAGGUGUUGGACGACCCUGCAUCCACUUGGGAGUCCUCUUUGUUCUCUCCAGACGAAGCCCUGGCAGACCCGGCACCAUCAAUGCCAUCUGGAUGCACGGGCACACCGGGAAUUGCGCUGCAGGUUGGUGGCGAAUUUGAGGGUACAAGCAAAGCCAAUGACAGAGGACACUGACCCCAUGAUGGACAUCCUCAAUGUGGAUGCCCAGGCUAAGCUGGCUUUGUAUUUGAAUAAAACUGUGGCUAAGAUCACAAAUACCUUGAGGCAGACCCCGGCCUCUAUUACACCCACUCAGAAAGGGCUCAAAAACAAGUAUUUUGUUCCCCUGUCGGGGAAUGAGCACCUGUAUUCCUACCCUGUCUCAGGUUCCCUGGUGGUGCAGUCGGCUACUCAAAAGGAGAGAUAGGGGCUGAUGGGGCCUAGGCCAAAAUCCAGGGAGCCCAAGCGCCUUGACCUUAUGGGACAUAAGGUCUAUACCACAGGGGGUGACUAGUUGUGCAUUGCUAAUCAGCAGAUGAUGUUGGGCUGCUACGCCUAGGGAUUGUGGCAGAUGAUGGACAAUUUCCGGGACAGGUUGCCCCCGGACUCCAGGCAGGAGUUUUUUGGCUAUGGCCACGGAAGGGAGAAUAAUAGCUCAAACAGCCCUACAGGCAGCACUGGACGCUGUGGACUCUGCUGCCUGUACCAUGGCCUCCGGUGUGGUCAUGCGCAGGAGCGUGUGGCUACAGGUUUCAGGGAUUCCUCUGGAUGUGCCGAAUACCAUCCAAGAUCUGCCAUUCAACGGGAAAUCCUUGUUCUCUGAGCAUACUGACUUGAGGCUUCAUAGCCUUAAGGACACUUAAGAGUCAAGUUCAGAGAGGAAGUUCUCGGUUAUGUUGACUUCACCCUACACCUACUUGAUCUUCUGUGUCUCAUCCUAAAGAGCAGAAAGUCAAUAUUGGUUCCAACUCAAAGAAUCAAGUUCAUUGGGAGACUGAAAGACUCUGAGUUGACGUAUAUUUCCUCCAACUGAGUGAUUCCUGGAGCUGCAGUCUGAACCCUCACCUAUAGCCUGAAUAUGUCUGCAGUUGCUAGGCUAUAUGUGUAUGCACAUAGGUAGCCCAAUAUGCAAGUAUAUGCCAAUAUACUCUUCAGAAGUGUCUGAAGUUGCUUACUUACCUAUAAUUGUUUUUCUUAGAAAUGUGAUGCAGGUUGUAUUACAUAAAUCCCCCUCCAUGUUUUCUGCAUCAGAGUCUGUUCUUCUGACGUGUGAAAGAAUUGAGGAGGUGGGGUGAUACCACACUUAUAUGGCCAGGGUAGGGGCUGGGGCAGGGGACAUGAGCGUGACGAUUAAGAAUACUGCUUGGAAAGUUUUCCAGCUUCGAUGUGCUGGUUGUAUGCCCCUACGCCUAAGUAGAAUACAUGUUUGCAUCACAUUUAGAAUGAUGAGUUACAAGUAAGUGACACUUUGUUCAGGUCUCAGGCCCCAAGAUCUUGCCAGCCACACCCCUGGUUUCCACCAUUUUGGUUGUACCUGACAAGAUGGUCCCAACACACUUCUCGUCCCAAAUUUGCCCAAAACCAUCUGCCAUGAAGUCUGCAGUACUCUCCUGGACUACUCAGAGAAAUGUUUGUUUGCUCAUUUUAAAGAGACAAUACCCAGCUCUCCACCAGUUUAACUGGAAUGAAUAAUUAUUUCAGUACUAACACAGCACUGGAUUGAUUUAGAUGAAAAAUAAAACAAGUUUAUUAACAGAAUAUAAGUUAAGUGAUGUCAAGUAGAAGAAAUAAAGGUAAAGAUAGUAGCUAUUGAAGAGAUGCAUCUAAAAGUAUAUUACCUAAUUUAGCAAGAUACAGUCUUUAGGAUGGUUUCUUUUGCCAAUUAUUCUUUGGAUAGAAUGUCUCUCAGGACCUUCUACAAAAAUACAAGGUGGUAGCUUCACUCGUAUUAACAUAUAAAAGGUAAUGAUGGAGUUUCUCUGUCAUUGAUAUUCCCUCAAUAUUGGCUUUAUUCUCAAAGUUAGGAAGGCCACCUGGAGAUUCAUUCUCCUGUGUCUCUCUGUAAUGCAGGGACCAUGUUAUUUCUGUCAAAUUCUGGCUCAAGACAACCUCUGGAGGUGUAGCGUGAUAACUUAGUUUACAUCUCAUUUGUAAAUUGAAUUAAAAUUACAAUCUUUUGUCUAGGACAGACCUGUUUAUCACUUUUACCUAGCAUAGGCUGCAUUGUCUUAAAUAUGUUAUAGUAACAAUUUAUACAGGGAAUUCAUGAUAAGGUGUAUUUUAUCCAAACUUUUCAGUAGCAUCUAAUGUGAAUACAGGGAUGCCUAGGGUCAUGUCUGUUUUGUAUCUCGCUUUUCAUAACAUCAGAUCUGGUCUUCUACAAGAUAUUUUAAUUUUAACAAAUAAGCAGUUGUUUUUAAUCUUGACACUAGCAGAUUGACAUCACCCAUAACUUGAAGGGUGUAUAUGUACAGGUAUGUAAUGUUCAGAAUCAUGGAAAGAAGAGUGUGUGUGUGUGGGGGGGGGGGAACCAAACAAUGUAGUCACCUGAUUUCUCACUUGACGAGUGCAAGAGUAUGCCCUGAAAAGCCUGGUGCCUGUUUGUGGUCACAGUUACACUGAUAUAAAUUAGAACUAACUCAACUAAAGCCAAACUGGUGUGAGUUUAAGUGCAUUAUCCUAGUGACUGUUUAUCCUGUUUUUAAAAUCUGUGGAAUGGACUUAGUUGUUUCAGGUAAUUAAGAAUGCUUGAUUCUUAGAUUACUAUAUAUAUUCUUCUGCUUAACUCCAUCUUGAACAGAAAAAUCAUCUUAUAAUGACUAGUAUAGCAUAAUAUAGUAUAAAAUUUUAUAAAAUGUAUGCUCAUGGUGACAGUUGUGGUUGAACAUUCAACCAUAAUUGCAUUUUUGUACUUAAUUAUGACUAGCUAUAUAAUCUUAAUGUUACAUUCUCGUGGACUUUUAACUUUUUUUUUUGACUGGGAAUGUACUUUAUUGUAAAUACAUUACAGGGUCAUAUUAUGUUUGUUGGGGUUGGGUCGUCCCGGCGCCGCAUUUUGGAGUUUUCCCCAGCAGUAGUUGGCUGGACUGCGCUUGUGCCUCAUGCUAUUCAUGCCUUUCUCUUUGCUCAUGUGGUCUGGCUCCUACCAGUUACUUCAUUGCCACCCUCGGUUGCAGGAGUUCCUCUCCUUGGAGAAUCUAGUGAGAGAAAAUAAUUUGAUAGUUAGUUUAGUAGUUUAGCCUGUUAGAGUUAGUUUAUAGUUGAUAGUUAGAUUGUUCAAGUAGUUUCCUUUUUUUCUAGUUGACAUUUAAAAAACACAAAACAAACGCAACUGGUGACUGCUAUGAAGGCUUCAGCUUAAAAAAAAAAAAAAAAAAAAAAA